GAGGGUUACACAAUAUUAGAAUUUAUUUAUAUAAUUAUAUAUGGUUGUACAAGGGUACAACAGAGUCUAGAAUGUCAGUUUGGAGUGCUAUAGGCACUACUGUAGGUUAUCCGGCGUUGGGACAGACCCCAUACGUGGCGUUGGUUGUACCGGCGUAUGGUGAGAUGUGCAAUAUGAUGAUCAGGUCUCACGUGGCGUAGGUUAUCCGGCGUUGAGACAGGCCCCAUACGUGGCGUUGGUUGUACCGGCGUAUGGGGAGCUAUAUGAGAUUGUGUUGAGGUCGCACGUGGCGUAGGUUAUCCGGCGUGUCGACAGACCCCAUACGUGGCGUUGG
RNAcentral lists this long non-coding RNA (334 nucleotides) under Prunus persica (peach). Its description in RNAcentral is "long non-coding RNA (PPER_LNC000261)". Lineage: Eukaryota; Viridiplantae; Streptophyta; Magnoliopsida; Rosales; Rosaceae. The record is from RNAcentral.